CCCCAUAGUCUGGGAUACCACUUGGAAACAGGUGCUAAUACCGGAUAAGAAAGCGGAUCGCAUGAUCAGCUUUUAAAAGGCGGCGUAAGCUGUCGCUAUGGGAUGGCCCCGCGGUGCAUUAGCUAGUUGGUAAGGUAAAGGCUUACCAAGGCGAUGAUGCAUAGCCGAGUUGAGAGACUGAUCGGCCACAUUGGGACUGAGACACGGCCCAAACUCCUACGGGAGGCAGCAGC
This 233-nucleotide ribosomal RNA is filed under the name uncultured Lactobacillus sp. RNAcentral describes it as "partial 16S ribosomal RNA". It matches the Rfam family "Bacterial small subunit ribosomal RNA", at positions 129 to 355 of the family's 1533-position model. The record is from RNAcentral. Lineage: Bacteria; Bacillati; Bacillota; Bacilli; Lactobacillales; Lactobacillaceae.